This 477-nucleotide ribosomal RNA is filed under the name uncultured bacterium. RNAcentral's name for it is "partial 16S ribosomal RNA". It matches the Rfam family "Bacterial small subunit ribosomal RNA", at positions 30 to 507 of the family's 1533-position model. The record is from RNAcentral.
AUUGAACGCUGGCGGCAUGCCUUACACAUGCAAGUCGAACGGUAACAGGUUAAGCUGACGCGUGGCGAACGGGUGAGUAAUACAUCGGAACGUGCCCAGUAGUGGGGGAUAGCCCGGCGAAAGCCGGAUUAAUACCGCAUACGACCUAAGGGUGAAAGGGGGGGAUCGCAAGACCUCUCGCUAUUGGAGCGGCCGAUGUCAGAUUAGCUAGUUGGUGGGGUAAAAGCUCACCAAGGCGACGAUCUGUAGCUGGUCUGAGAGGACGACCAGCCACACUGGGACUGAGACACGGCCCAGACUCCUACGGGGGGCAGCAGUGGGGAAUUUUGGACAAUGGGCGCAAGCCUGAUCCAGCCAUGCCGCGUGCGGGAAGAAGGCCUUCGGGUUGUAAACCGCUUUUGUCAGGGAAGAAAUCCUUUGGGUUAAUACCUCGGGGGGAUGACGGUACCUGAAGAAUAAGCACCGGCUAACUACGUG